RNAcentral lists this long non-coding RNA (3718 nucleotides) under Astyanax mexicanus (Mexican tetra). RNAcentral's name for it is "lncRNA (ENSAMXG00005015716.1)". Lineage: Eukaryota; Metazoa; Chordata; Actinopteri; Characiformes; Acestrorhamphidae. The record is from RNAcentral.
UUAAGAUCUGCUUUAUAAGACAUAAAAAAAAAAAAAGUUAAUCCUAAGAAAGACAUUUUUUCCUUUGGGAUGUCGUUCUCUUCAGUGAAGGCUGUGUGAGAUUCCUCCCAGUGGAGCAGUAGUACUGUAAUCUGGAUAAGCUUCUUAAGCCUCUCCAUGUGUCUGGGUUUGCUGUGGCCAGUCUCAAAAACUGAUACGGUUUGUUUUCAGGAAGACACGUUUCCAGAUAAUGUAUUUAGUUCCUUCUGAAAGAUAUCUGCAUCACUCUCAGACAACAAAAGGAAAGAUAUCUUCAACUUCCUGGACCAUAGUACGCAAUGAAAGAACCCUUCAAGUCCUGUCAACUUCAACUUCAACCAUGUCUUCAAGUUUCCUGAAGCUUCCGAAAACUGAUCUUGACUUGACAUGGAAUAUCUCUCACGACACUAUAAGCAGGAAAAGAAAAGCUUUUUUUUUAUUCUGUUCCGAAUUGUUUGGGUAGAUGUAAGAAGUUACGUUUUGGAUAAGUAUGCCCAGAGAAGGUGAAGACCCCACCAGUUCCUCUCAACAUUUUGCCAUAUAUCCUCCAUACCAGACAUCGGUAAGAAAAAUUGUGCACGGUCGCAUAAAUCCGCAUAAAUCCUGAAACUGGCUACUCAUUAUUGUCCACAGUGCCCAUUACAAUGGGCGACCGACCAGUCUGCACUGAUGCGUACAAAACUGACCAAACUGACAGCGACAAAACCCAACGGCAUGAACCAUUUGCAUCUCAAAAGCAAGCAAACAAUCUGUCCACAUUUCAGAAUCUCCUCGAAUCCUCCUGGAUGUCCGCCAGCUUCCACCGCUCGAUUUUAGCCCUUGGCAGCGAGGAGAUGGCCUCUUUUGCAAAACCUCAAGCUUCUGAUUUUGCCGUAUCUGGCUUGCUACUUUACUCUCCCGGAAUAUCUCUUCCCAUCGGAAGGUCACAGCAUAAUUCUCUUCCCCUGGGCAGUUUCUUGCACGCUCGACGCAAACGUGAGCUGCAACUCAGUAACUCACACAAAUUGGUCCAGGCUGGCAACAUCCCUUGUGUUCUGUCACGGGGAGAGCAUGUGGGUAAUGCAAAUCCUUUCGCAGGUGGGUUUCCAGCGCCUGUGUGUUCAUCUAAGCAGAAUUCAGAUAAGAAGUCGCAUGCCGCAACUGCAUGGCUUGUAGAAGCCCACAGAUCUGCCUUAGAUGGACAAGCCUACAAAACUAGCAUGGCACACCAGGCGCCUCAUCUUGAAAGACUUGAGAUGAAAGGGAAUGUGAUGAUUAGACAUCAGGUGGAUCCAGAAGACAAGAAAACAUUCAAGAAGAACAGCCACUUCAAUAAAGAUCCAAGGCAGGUAGAUAGUCCCAGAAGGUCCAAUGGAAAUCAGACAGGGCCCACUGGAAGGAAACCCAAUGGUGUGCAUUGGAGUUCUCGGCUUGAUCCGGGAUGUUCUACAGCUUUCACAAGAAGCGACACAUUCCAAGCAAUUACCAGACACAGUGGAAGCACUAGUACACCACAUCCCAAAGCUGCACCAUCAAGACAACAUCUUUUGACAUGUGGGAAUGAGCUUGAUGCAGUGGCAGCAACCCCACAGAUUCACCUCUUCACCACUGAUGAGGAGAUAGCAAAAAGGUUCCAGGCUCUGUACCAGUUCCAUCUGCUCCAGCGAUGCUUUAGAAGAUGGUGUGCUGGUCUCAGUUCUCACACUAAAGCCUGGCUUUAUAACCAGCGGAGGAUUCUCAGUAAAGCUCUGCUUGCUCUCCAGCGGGCUGUUCUGCUCCAGCGUGCUCAGACAGACACUGCAGAGAUGGCCCAGAGAGCGCAAACGCUAGCACAGGCUUUUCACCGGUGGAAAGAUGUCUACGAGAGGAGACAGCAGGCGAGGCUGGGCUCAGACAGUUGCACUCGAGGCCACGUUGUUGCAUUAAGAAGAAGACUUGUUAAGGCCAGUGAUUCACUACCUCUGAGGAACCACGUCCAGAGCCAGCGAAUCCACAGAGCAGCCGUGAUUCACCACCAUCUGUCGGUUCUGUAUAAGCACUGGUUGCUGUGGAGACGGGCCUGGAUGAAGCAGAUCUCCAGAUCCCAGCAGAUGCAGCGGGCUCGGGCGUGGAGGGAGCAGAGGCUGCGUAUCAGGACCUGGACUAUGUGGCUGUGUGUUUGGAAGAAAAGACAGCAAACCAGACACCUGCACAGGCUGGUACUUCAGCGGUGGAAUCAGCACACCCAGAGGGUCCGGUUGAUGCAUCUUGCACAGGCUGUGGAGCAGCUUCGUUCCAUUCGUUUACUAUCUGCAACAUUCAGGAGAUGGAGGCAGGCGAAGGAGGUGAGGGAGGCUAUGCAGAGACUGCGCCACCUACAGGACAGAGGGCUACUGCAGGCUGCCUUUGAGAAAUGGCUACAUAGCUCACGGCUGAAGGUACAGAUAAGGGAACUACAUCAGAGAAGUGACCAGGCUCAUUUAGCAAGGAUUUUUUCUUACUGGAAUGGACUGGUCCUGCACAGAAGAAAGUUGGCGUUAAGCUACAGAAGACAACAAACUCUGACUGUGAGAAGCUUCUUCCAGCUGUGGAGAAGAGCACUGGAGCUGCGUCUGCUUCAAAAGCGUUUUCUCAUCCUCUUGUUUUUCAAAAGACAGCGAACUUCUCAACACACCAGUGCAGUGCAGGACGAGACAAUGACCGUGGCUUUUUCUGGGCAGCACUCUUUCUGUCCAUUGGAAGUGCUUUGGGCCAGGCUUGUGCUCCAGAUGUUUGUCUACACUUGGAGAGAGAAAUUAAAGAAACAACAGCAAGCAAGAUGGCAUCAUGCAGCACGUGUUAGAGAGAGGCAAAGGACUGAGCUUGUGGAGUGGCACAGACUCGCUCAGACUGAGCUGUCUGACAAAGUGCUGAGAUUCAGAGCCAGACUGGCUCAGUUUCAUAACUCCCUCUCCACACCAGGCGUCCACAGCUCUUCUGACCCCGGACGUUCUGCAGACUACACAGGCUCAGGGGGACAGCAGGCCGUGGCUCUGCAGGUGCUGGUCAGAAUGAUGCAGCCCGACCUGAGCCUGGCCUUCUCACAGUGGAGGUCAGCGCUCCUCAGCAGCAGGAAGAUGAAGCGGCGGGCCGACCUGUUCAGGAACAGCAGGGAACUGACUGGUGUAAGGAUGUCCUUCAGCACCUGGAGAACACACACAGAGAUGCAGCAGAGAGCAGUCCAGUACAGGGAGAGGGUGCUGCUCUCUCACUGUGUAACUGACUGGAGAACGCUGAUGUGGUGCGGACGCAGAGAACGUUCUCUACAGCUGCAGGCCGUUCACUGCCAUCAGACCAGACUACUGAAACACUGCUUUACAGCGUGGCACAGACAGGCUGCAGGGUCUGUACCGGACAGUAGGCAGAGGUGGCUGGAGCAGAGGGUGGAGAGCCGUUGCCUCAGCCGGGCUUUCUCCACGUGGGCAGCACGUGAGAGACAGCAGAAGGCCGUCAGAGCAUUCUGUACCCAAGUGCUUCUGAGGAGGUAUGCAGUAGAGAAUUACACUCCACACGGAUUGAAGGAAUGGUUGCAUAUUACAACUGGGUCUGUGCACAUGGUUUGCCUGUGCAGCUGUUUCAUUUACUAUGGUGAUUUACAGCCAAUGUGGUGACCAGUAGUAUAUGGGCCAUUUCAACGAAUGGGCGCCAUUUGCUUGUUGCAAGUAAAUCUUCCAAUUUAAAAUUAUUUGUAUGUCUUUUUUUC